CCUACGGGAGGCUGCAGUGAGGAAUAUUGGUCAAUGGGCGCGAGCCUGAACCAGCCAAGUAGCGUGAAGGAUGACUGCCCUACGGGUUGUAAACUUCUUUUAUAAAGGAAUAAAGUGAGGCACGUGUGCCUUUUUGUAUGUACUUUAUGAAUAAGGAUCGGCUAACUCCGGGCCAGCAGCCGCGGUAAGACGGAGGAUCCGAGCGUUAUCCGGAUUUAUUGGGUUUAAAGGGAGCGUAGAUGGGUUGUUAAGUCAGUUGUGAAAGUUUGCGGCUCAACCGUAAAAUUGCAAUGGAUACUGGCAGCUUUGAGUACAGUUGAGGUAGGCGGAAUGCGUGGUGGGGCGGUGAAAUGCUUAGAUAUCACGAAGAACUCCGAUUGCGAAGGCAGCCUACUAAACUGCCACUGACAUUGAGGCUCGAAAGUGUGGGUAUCAAACAGGAGUAGAUACCCCUGUAGUC
Molecule: ribosomal RNA, 460 nt
Filed under: uncultured bacterium
Lineage: Bacteria
Description: partial 16S ribosomal RNA
Rfam family: Bacterial small subunit ribosomal RNA
Source: RNAcentral